GUGCCAGCAUCCUCGGUAAUACGUAGGGGUCAAGCGUUGUCCGGAUUUAUUGGGCGUAAAGAGCUCGUAGGCGGUUCAACAAGUCGGUCGUGAAAGUUCAGGGCUCAACCCUGAAAUGUCGAUCGAUACUGUUGUGACUAGGAUACGGUAGAGGUGAGUGGAAUUCCGAGUGUAGCGGUGAAAUGCGUAGAUAUUCGGAGGAACACCAAUUGCGAAGGCAGCUCACUGGGCCGCUAUCGACGUUGAGGGACGAAAGUGUAGGGAGCAAACAGGAUUAGAUA
This 281-nucleotide ribosomal RNA is filed under the name uncultured bacterium. Its description in RNAcentral is "partial 16S ribosomal RNA". It matches the Rfam family "Bacterial small subunit ribosomal RNA", at positions 505 to 784 of the family's 1533-position model. The record is from RNAcentral.